This 64-nucleotide ribosomal RNA is filed under the name Scirtothrips dorsalis. RNAcentral's name for it is "partial 28S ribosomal RNA". It matches the Rfam family "Eukaryotic large subunit ribosomal RNA", at positions 1 to 69 of the family's 3401-position model. Lineage: Eukaryota; Metazoa; Arthropoda; Insecta; Thysanoptera; Thripidae. The record is from RNAcentral.
UCAGUUCAAGUGAGACUACCCCCUGAAUUUAAGCAUAUUACUAAGGGGAGGAAAAGAAACUAAC